This 246-nucleotide ribosomal RNA is filed under the name uncultured bacterium. RNAcentral describes it as "partial 16S ribosomal RNA". It matches the Rfam family "Bacterial small subunit ribosomal RNA", at positions 527 to 772 of the family's 1533-position model. The record is from RNAcentral.
GUAGGUGGCAAGCGUUAUCCGGAUUUAUUGGGUUUAAAGGGUGCGUAGGCGGUUCGAUAAGUUAGAGGUGAAAUCCCGGGGCUCAACUCCGGCACUGCCUCUGAUACUGUUCGGCUAGAGAGUAGUUGCGGUAGGCGGAAUGUAUGGUGUAGCGGUGAAAUGCUUAGAGAUCAUACAGAACACCGAUUGCGAAGGCAGCUUACCAAGCUACUUCUGACGUUGAGGCACGAAAGCGUGGGGAGCAAA